This 240-nucleotide unclassified non-coding RNA is filed under the name soil metagenome. RNAcentral's name for it is "partial contains 5.8S ribosomal RNA, internal transcribed spacer 2, and large subunit ribosomal RNA". The record is from RNAcentral.
AACGCACGAGACCUGCGGACCUGCGGAAGGAUCAUUACCAAGCCUGUGAAGAUCACCUUCCAAAAGGAUGUGCGAUCUCUCACCCCGGCCACCCUUGUUUACCUUAUACCUGUUGCUUUGGUGGGCCCGCUGUAUGGCCGCUGGGAAACACUAAAAAGUUUCCGGGUGGGUGCUCACCAGAGUCCCAUUGAACUCUUUCUGGAAGUUAUGCUGUCUGAGCAUGAAAAAAACAAAUGUUAG